This 5690-nucleotide long non-coding RNA is filed under the name Theobroma cacao (cacao). Its description in RNAcentral is "long non-coding RNA (TCAC_LNC004883)". Lineage: Eukaryota; Viridiplantae; Streptophyta; Magnoliopsida; Malvales; Malvaceae. The record is from RNAcentral.
GAUCCUUUGACGAAGCAGAAAUUGCUCCAGAGACUGUUGAAAUCAGGGAUCCUCCAGCUAUGUUAAACCUCUCAAAAUCUCCUCUUUUUGAUGGAUCCUCAGAGCAGACAGGAAUUGCUCCUCAAACACCUCGUCGGCACUCACCUCCCCUUGUUGGGGGAGAACAAACAGAAAUUGCUCCGCAAACACCUGUACCACACUCAAAAUCAGUGAGACGAUUGGAGAGCCCUGAGUACCUCAAAUGUGCUAACUUAUUUGAAGUAGGACAUGCAAAUUUGGAUCCUACUGAAAGUAUCGAGAAAGAAUCUUCUCUUAUUGAAAUUGUAGAAAAAGAGCCUUCCCUGAGCAAAGAUGAAGUUCUUGAUCUCAAUCUGGUGAGCAAGGAGAAAUGAUAUUACUGAUAGCUGCCUUAAUGUGAUAGAGAAUAAUCAUCUGGCAGGGCUGCCUUAUAUAUUGAUGAAAGUUACAAAGCAUAGGAAUUAGUUUACAAACUGAACCACGCAUUGCAUCAACGUAUUUUGCUAUAUUUGACGUGCAACUUCUUUCAAAUUAUAUUUUAAAUCAUCUAAGCAUGAUAAGGUUGAACUUUAAACCCGAACCAAAAUAGUAUUUGAGACGACGAUUGGUGUCUCACAGUGCUGGAUGGUUUAGAAGCUUCUACCUGCUUAUGAAAAUGUAUCAAUUCACAUGUUAGUUGAUUGUUGGCUUCCCUAUUCAAAGCAUCUUAUAUUAGUCAUUUACUUGAUUAAUAUUUUGGUCAGGAGAUACAUUCAGAUGGAGAUGAUAACCAGGAACAGGGUAAGAGCUAUUCGAAUUGUUCUUUAUUUUAAACUUUGAUCUGGUCAGUGGAUUCAUUUUAGAUUGCACAUUGUUGUUACAUGUGGGGUAUUCUUACCUGAAUUUUGUCAUUUGCAGAUGGAUGGUCAAUGAGAACUAGGUAAGAUAAAUACAGCCUUUACCAUACUCUUUUGACUUAAAUGGUUAAAGUCAAUCCCUUAUGCCUGCUUGCAAAACUUCCUUCCAAUUGGUUAAAUCUUUGUUGCACAGAAUGGUGGCAAAGUAUUUGCAGAGAAGUUUUCUAGGUCAAAGGAAAAGAGGAGAGGAGGAAACGUUGAAGUUAUCACAGAUUUUGGAAGGAAGAACAAAGAAAGAAAGCGUGAGGCUCUUUUAUGAGAUACUGGUAUGUUGCAGCCAGUGACUUACCUUGAGAAUCAAUUGUUCACUGUGGUAAUAAUUUCACUCAAGCCCGGUGCACUGACUCAAUUGGUUAAUGCCAUUCAAGUAGGGCUUCUCAACAUGAGGUCUACCCAACUUGGACCAGUCACUGGUUCAAACCAUGUCACACACUAUAAAUUUGUUAUCUUCAAACUUAAGACUUUCUUGAGCACACACGAGCUGUUGUUUUUGACAGCUAAAUUGGAAUAUUUGAUGUGAUAAUUAACAAUGGUAUAAAAAUAUCAAUUUUGCAGGUGUUGAAAACUAAAGGACUUGUGGAUGUGAAGCAAGACACUGCUUUCGAUGACAUUCUUGUCCAGCAAUCUCCUCAGUGGGACCAAACUUGCAGAACUGAUGGGAAGUAGAACUGCUGGAGGAUCUGUUUGUUAUUUGCGAGAAGUAGAAUAAGUCUUUUGAUGAGGAUCUAUUUGUUAAUUGCAAGAAGUAGAAUUAGUCUUUUGAUCCUAACCCAUGUUAAAUGAGUUAUAGCGGUAGUCCCUCUGUAAAUUGAGUAGUUCUGUAAAUGUUAUCAAUUUUAGCUGAUAUAGGAAUCACAAAUGUUCUCAUUAGAAGAGUACAAGGAAAAGAGGAUGUAACUACUUUUUCUUUUUUAGAUAGGGUCUUACUUUGAGAGCUUAUCUUAGUGAUUUGAAUAACUUAAUCAGAAAUCUCUGUGUAGACCAUUGUUUUUGAUGAUUUAAUGUCUUUUUAUUCAACAACAAUGACUUUGACCAUCCUGGAAAGCAUGAGAUGCUGUGAGCAAAGUAUUGGUUACAUUGAAUAAGAAAUGAGCGAAUUGUUUGAUUGAAUGUCGACUAAGAUUCUUGUAAGUAAAUACAUAAAAUAGAAUGACUUUAGAACAAAUAAAAUGUAAUAUCUGAAGGCUUCUUGGACAAUUCAUCUUUGACUUUAUAAGAGUUUGAAUCUCUUGAAGCUUGUGAGUUUCCAUGAUACUUCACAUUCAAUGGAGAUGUCUCUUGCUCUCAGAUGUCUUUGACAUAAAAUACUGCCGGUGUCUUUAUAAUUCAGUAAGGCAAUCAGAUUUUGUUUCAAUUUACAACCAACUUAGAGCUCAUUAUAUCUUGGUAAGACUUUUGCUCUACUCUUUACACAGAAACACAAAAAAGGCAUACUAUUUUCAACAGUUUUUAAUGUUUUGCAAUUUGCAGAAGCUGGAAUGAACCUCUUAGGAGGUUUUUGGAACAGCCCCAUUGGUCCCAAAACAAGUCGCUUUCGGGGCGCUGUCACCAACUGGGGCAUUCCUACUGUUGUAUGCUCACUGAAACCGAAUCCAUGUCCUUGUCUUGUCGUCGAUUUAAGCAUAAUUCAGUGUUUUUUGAUGACAUUUCUAUGAUGGUUUUGUUUGUUUACAGGCCCAUUUAGACACAAAGAAACCACCAGAAACGAUAUCUGGCAACAUGGCUGCAGGUUAAUUUCCUCAUGUUUAAUCUCUAUAGACAUCUUUUUUUAUCAUUUCUUUUAUUCUUCAUGCUAGCAGGGGUUGCAGUUUAGAAAACCUGCUUGGUUUUUUGCAGCUAUGUGCGUUUAUUCUUUGUUAUACAUGAGGUUUGCAUGGAUGGUAUAGCCACGCAACCUCCUCCUUGCAUGUCAUGCCUCGAAUGAAACUGUGCAGCUUUAUCAGCUCUCCCGUUGGAUGAAGUUUCAGGGGUAAGCACUAACAUUUUAAACCGUUUUUUCCAUUUGCUUCUGUUUCUCUUUGCAAAAACUAGUUUAUCCAAGAAACAGGUAGAAAUGUUUCUAAUGAUGGGGGUGGUCUGCAGCAGGUAUUCCCCGAAGAAAAAUGAAGCUGAUCAAACACAAAAUGUCUGAGAUCAUUACUUGCAGCUUGAUCCUUAAUUAACUCUUACGUUAUGGAUAGUUUGCCUGUUGCCAAUCAGUCAUUUGGCAUAUGCUUUACAGUUUGUAUACAAGAAAAGAGCAACAAGGGGUCGUUUGUGUUUGUAGAGAAACAUUGAGAACAUCCAUGAUCACUUUACCAAAGAAUUUAUCAGUUUGUACAAUAGCAUGCUAAUAAUGCUGCGCCUCGCAAUAUUAUUUGGUUGUUAUUUUGAGUAUUUUCAUGUUUGUCUAAAUCUCAUGGUAGGUUUUUUUUUUCUUUAAUGGUUCAUGGCUAGGCUAUAUUAUUAAUUAUUAAGAGAAGAUAUUGUUUCGCUGUCAAACUAAAGGCAUAAUAUCUAAAAAAGCUCUUGAUUUAUAUAUAAAAAUUUAAAUAAGUUUUUAAUUUUUGAUUAUAUCCAAUCAAAUCAAAUAAGUUUUUAUAACUAACGAUUGAUUAACUGCCGUUCAAGUUACCACUUAUUAUUUUAUGUCACAUGAUAUUGAUGUGACAUAUUGAUAUAUUAUAAUAAAUGGUUACAUAACAUAAUGACAUGGUAACGUGAAAUUUUUAUUUUUUACAUUAUGUCACAUCAAAAUUAUGUAAUACUAAAAUAACAAAUGAUAUUUGAACUAAUGAUAAUUAAUUAGUCGUUAGUUAUAAAAGAUCUAUUAAAUUCAAAAUAAAAAAGUUAAUUAAAAAUAAUAAAAAAAAGAACGUGUUUAAGUUUUCUAAAAUAAUUUAGAGAUUUUCUAAAGCAUUAUGCCUAAACUAAACAUCUCAAUUUUUGUUGAAGAUGGAAGUUGAUAUCAAGUAUGGUACAACCACUUCAAAAUUUUCACUACAUACAAAUUAACUGCCAUUUUAACAAGUUUUGUAAAAAGUAUUUAUAUUGAAAAAUAAUAUUAAAUUAUGAAAUUUAACAUGUUUAAUUUAAAAUAUGUUAAUCAUUAAUUUUAAUUUGAACAAACUUUUAUAUAAAUCUGCAAAUACUUUAAAUUCAAUAGAAAAGACAAGAUUUACAAUUAAAAUGUCUUUUUCUUUGACUUGGGAAGAUAACCAUUACAAUAAGGGCCUAUAUAUAUAUAUAUAUAAAAGAAAAAAUCUAUUUCUAACCUCAAAAAGAAAGAAUUUCCAAUCAAAAUCUUCUGGAAAUUGAACACUUUUUUUAUUUGUUAGGCUAUUACGUUUAUUUAGAAUUGGGCUGAGUGCUAGCACAAGUCUAACCCAAUAGCCCAAUUUAAUAACCGAGUGCAUAUGCAGUUGAUCCUUCUAUGAUAACCCUAGAUAAGGAUUACUGAUUGGAGUGCAAUAUAAUUACUGCUCCAUAACAAAACUUUCUCCAGGAAAAGAAAAUGUUUCUUUGAUGGCAUGAUAGUUUUUCCAAAUGAGUAAGCUAUGGUUACCUCAUUUUUUAUCCCUUUGUGUAUUCAUUUUAGGUAAUUUUAGAUUGUUAAUCAAUUUUUAACUCUAGGCCAGACAUUGUUGUGUAGCUUUAUAUAUGGUCCUGACUGCUGACCUUGAUUAUCACAUAUGACAACAGUCAUUUUAUUUGUUGCAUUAUGAAAUACAUGAAUUGGAUUUUAUGAUGCAGUUGGAAAUACGAUGUGUUCUUAGACUUGCGCUGAGUACUAAAUUGGGUAAUAUUAGGUUUGAUCUUUAAUCAGCAGAUGCUGUAAUUGGUGUUGCUUGCUCAUAUGAGAUGCGCAUCUACUGCUGCAACAUGAUUAAGGUCAUAUAGGAAUUCUAUGGUAAACCUCAGUUUACUAUAGAGCUCAUUUUGUAGUUUAACAGCAUUUCACUUGGCUUCUCAUGCAGUCUACUAUAAGUUGAUCCAGCUAUUGCUUAGGAUAAUUUAAUUUCAAUUUGCAUGUUCUAUUUUUGGAUUGCAACAUGCCCAGCACUAGCUGUCUUCUCGUAAUUGAUUAAAUAGCUGCGGCACCUUUCUAUGGGAAAUGAUGCAGUAUAACUUUUUACUUAGGAUAUUGGUUCUUGGUAAAAAAUGCAAGGAGUACAAAUAACUGAAGUCGACAGCUAAUAACUUCAUAAUUCAUUAAAUUUCAUGUGCAAUAUUUUCAGCUUAAUGAGGCAGUGGAUAAAAGAUGCAAGUGAUUUGGUGUCUAAGCGGAGAAAACGUACUGCUCUAGAUGCAAGGAAGAUUCAUCGGGUUUUCAAUCUUUCCCAGAGUUUCUCAGAGGCUUCGGUUCCUUGUAAUUCCACUAUCAUAGUUCUACAUGGUCUUUUUCUACUUAUGCCCUCAUCGCUAAUCAUAUUGUUGGCAGGCACCUCGGAGCUUAAAUAUCUCUACCAUGGAAAGAGUUUGAGACUUCUUGAAUCUGUUAAAAUCAUGAAAUCUCCAGAAAAAAUAGAUGUGCCAGAAGCUCCUCCGAUUGGUGGAUCCUUUGACCAAGCAGAAUUGCUCCAGAGACUGUUGAAAUCAGGGAUCCUCCAGCUAUGUUAAACCUCUCAAAAUCUCCUCUUUUUGAUGGAUCCUCAGAGCAGACAGGAAUUGCUCCUCAAACACCUCGUCGGCACUCACCUCCCCUUGUUGGGGGAGAACAAACAGAAAUUGCUCCACAAACACCUGUACCACACUCAAAAUCAGUGAGACGAUUGGAGAGCCCUGAGUACCUCAAAU